Long non-coding RNA from Pogoniulus pusillus (Red-fronted tinkerbird), 776 nucleotides. RefSeq lists it as uncharacterized. The record is from RefSeq and is a predicted model, not a curated record. NCBI's taxonomy places the organism in Eukaryota, Metazoa, Chordata, Aves, Piciformes, Lybiidae. The transcript is spliced from 4 exons.
UUGAGAGCAUGCCCAGCGGGAUGGGUGUUGGAGACAGGAGGGUUGAUGCAGUUGCCCGUGCUUGCUCCGGUUGCCCGUUUUGCUGGUGCCUGGUGUGAGGGCUGAAGGAAGAAGGGGUUGGCAGCUGGAGGUGAGCAAGAGCUCCUGCAGAGCGAGGAGAGCCAUUGGCUGUGUGGGACACGGUGGCUGGCCUGCUUGGAGAAGCACUUGUGGUGCCAAGGGCACGCCCGUUGUGAGGCUGGGCUCCUUUGAGAGCAUGCCCAGCGGGAUGGGUGUUGGAGACAGGAGGGUUGAUGCAGUUGCCCGUGCUUGCUCCGGUUGCCCGUUUUGCUGGUGCCUGGUGUGAGGGCUGAAGGAAGAAGGGGUUGGCAGCUGGAGAGCCAUUGGCUGUGUGGGACACGGUGGCUGGCCUGCUUGGAGAGGCACUUGUGGUGCCAAGGUACGUUCCUCUUCCUCUCCUCCUCUUCUUCCUGCUCUCUUUCUCUUCCUCCCCUACUGCAUGCCCAGCACGCGCAGCAGAUUGAUGCUGACUGUCUUGGUCAGUGUGGUAGCAGAGGAGGUCCUCUGUCUUUUGUCCUUGUUCAUUGCCUCCACCUUCUUGUUCUGGGCUGUCCUGUUUCUUCUGCGCUGCCCUCUAAAGGGUUGGUUCUUUGUUUUUCUAUUGCUGUUUGUCAUGGUGGAGUGAGCGUGGUGGUGUUGGGGAGGAGAGGGUGGGCAUAGGUGGUUAGAGUGCGAGCGUGGGAAGGAGCGAGUGGAAGAUGGGGACGAAAGAGAAG